GAGCCCAGGAGGCGGGGCGCCUGUGGGAGCCGUGGAGGGAACUUUCCCAGUCCCCGAGGCGGAUCCGGUGUUGCAUCCUUGGAGCGAGCUGAGAGCUCGAGUACAGAACCUGCUAAGGCCAUCAAACCUAUUGAUCGGAAGUCAGUCCAUCAGAUUUGCUCUGGGCCGGUGGUACCGAGUCUAAGCACUGCGGUGAAGGAGUUAGUAGAAAACAGUCUGGAUGCUGGUGCCACUAAUAUUGAUCUAAAGCUUAAGGACUAUGGAGUGGAUCUCAUUGAAGUUUCAGGCAAUGGAUGUGGGGUAGAAGAAGAAAACUUCGAAGGCUUAACUCUGAAACAUCACACAUCUAAGAUUCAAGAGUUUGCCGACCUACCUCAGGUUGAAACUUUUGGCUUUCGGGGGGAAGCUCUGAGCUCACUUUGUGCACUGAGAUGCCAGACCUUAGAUUUUAUGAUGACUCCUCAACCGUUUAGAUCUCGGUUAUCUCAGAGGGAUCAUCAGCUUUUUAAGAAAAUUUUGAGAGAAAAGCAAGUGAAGAAAAGAGUAGUCAGUGCCCAACAUCACGGAUCUCUCACUGAACACACCAUGCCUGGUAUUCUCUCACAGUGAUGUCACCAUUUCUACCUGCCAUGUAUCGGCGAAGGUUGGGACUCGACUGGUGUUUGAUCACUAUGGGAAAAUCAUCCAGAAAACCCCCUACCCCCACCCCAGAGGGAUGACAGUCAGUGUGAAGCAGUUAUUUUCUACGCUACCUGUGCACCAUAAAGAAUUUCAAAGGAAUAUUAAGAAGCCUCCAAUUUACAGUCUAAAACAUGUACGCGGUGGCCCUGAGCUGUUGUGUAAAUGGACUCACUGCCCUGAGGCCACCAUGCUGCAAGGAAGCCCAAGCUAACCCUAGGAUGUGCCCUGAGACGACAUGAAGACGCAUCCCCAGCCAGCCUUCCACUACCCCAUCCUUCACUGCCCCAUUCUCACCCCCGCCCACCUCCUUACUCCCUCCACCCCUCCACCUGCCUCCAGCCAGAAUUGCACAGCCAACUACUUCCAGAAUCGCUGGUCCAAAGAAAUCACGACAGGCGCUAAGUUUGGGGCAAUCCAUUUAAUGCUACUAAGUUGUGGGAUGGUUUGUUUGAGCAGCCCCAGAUAACAAACAUUCCUUGAGGUCACACGCUAACCAAGCUGUGAUUCGAACACUGCCUCUCAAAUUCACGAGCAAAAGAGGGGGAAUUCUGUUUAAAAUGCCAAAAAGAACUCUUUCUUGCUUUUAUUAUUUUUAAUUUAUGUAUAAUAAUUGUAUGUUUAUAUAAUAAUUGUAAUAAUUUACGGGAUACAGGUGAUAUUUCAAUAUAUGUAUACAAUGUGUAAUGA
Molecule: long non-coding RNA, 1368 nt
Filed under: Homo sapiens (human)
Lineage: Eukaryota; Metazoa; Chordata; Mammalia; Primates; Hominidae
Source: RNAcentral